GAAAUGCGAUAAGUAAUGUGAAUUGCAGAAUUCAGUGAAUCAUCGAAUCUUUGAACGCACAUUGCGCCCCCUGGUAUUCCGGGGGCAUGCCUGUUCGAGCGUCAUUUCACCACUCAAGCCUCGCUUGGUAUUGGGCGACGCGGUCCGCCGCGCGCCUCAAAUCGACCGGCUGGGUCUUCCGUCCCCUCAGCGUUGUGGAAACUAUUCGCUAAAGGGUGCCGCGGGAGGUCACGCCGCAAAACAACCCCAUUUCUAAGGUUGACCUCGGAUCAGGUAGGGAUACCCGCUGAACUUAAGC
RNAcentral lists this unclassified non-coding RNA (298 nucleotides) under plant metagenome. RNAcentral describes it as "partial contains 5.8S ribosomal RNA, internal transcribed spacer 2, and large subunit ribosomal RNA". The stretch from base 1 to 104 matches the Rfam family "5.8S ribosomal RNA", at positions 50 to 154 of the family's 154-position model. The record is from RNAcentral.